UAGGGAAUCUUCGGCAAUGGGGGGAACCCUGACCGAGCAACGCCGCGCGAGUGAAGAAGGUUUUCGGAUCGUAAAGCUCUGUUGUUAAGGAAGAACGAGUGUGAGAAUGGAAAGCUCAUGCUGUGACGGUACUUAACCAGAAAGGGACGGCUAACUACGUGCCAGCAGCCGCGGUAAUACGUAGGUACCGAGCGUUGUCCGGACUUAUUGGGCGUAGAGCGAGCGCAGGCGGUUAGAAAAGUCUGAAGUGAAAGGCAUUAGCUCAACCAUUGUAGGCUUUGGAAACUGUUUACCUUGCGUGCAGAAGGGGAGAGAGGAAUUCCAUGUGUAGCGGUGAAAUGCGUAGAUAUAUGGAGGAACACCGGUGGCGAAAGCGGCUCUCUGGUCUGUAACUGACGCUGAGGCUCGAAAGCGUGGGGAGCGAACAGG
RNAcentral lists this ribosomal RNA (429 nucleotides) under Verrucomicrobiota bacterium. RNAcentral describes it as "Verrucomicrobia bacterium partial 16S ribosomal RNA". It matches the Rfam family "Bacterial small subunit ribosomal RNA", at positions 355 to 776 of the family's 1533-position model. Lineage: Bacteria; Pseudomonadati; Verrucomicrobiota. The record is from RNAcentral.